This 67-nucleotide transfer RNA is filed under the name Pseudoneureclipsis achim. RNAcentral describes it as "tRNA-Phe". The record is from RNAcentral. Lineage: Eukaryota; Metazoa; Arthropoda; Insecta; Trichoptera; Polycentropodidae.
AUUUAAGUAGCUUGAUUUAAGAUUAUAAUAUUGAGGAUAUUAAGAUAAAAUUUUUUUUAAUUAAUUA